CCUACGGGUGGCAGCAGUGAGGAAUAUUGGUCAAUGGCCGGAAGGCUGAACCAGCCAAGCCGCGUGAAGGACGACGGUGCCAAGCAUUGUAAACUUCUUUUGUCAAGGGAUAAAAUCAGGCACGAGAGCCUGACCGAGGGUACUUGAAGAAGAAGCAUCGGCUAACUCCGUGCCAGCAGCCGCGGUAAUACGGAGGAUGCGAGCGUUAUCCGGAUUUAUUGGGUUUAAAGGGUGCGUAGGCGGACUGUUAAGUCAGCGGUAAAAGCCCGGGGCUCAACCCCGGCGAGCCGUUGAAACUGGCUGGCUUGAGAGGGCGAGAGGUAUGCGGAAUGCGCGGUGUAGCGGUGAAAUGCUUAGAUAUCACGCAGAACUCCGAUUGCGAAGGCAGCAUACCGGCGCCGAUCUGACGCUGAGGCACGAAAGCGUGGGUAUCGAACAGGAUUAGAUACCCUUGUAGUC
This 459-nucleotide ribosomal RNA is filed under the name uncultured bacterium. RNAcentral's name for it is "partial 16S ribosomal RNA". It matches the Rfam family "Bacterial small subunit ribosomal RNA", at positions 338 to 795 of the family's 1533-position model. The record is from RNAcentral.